GCCCUCGUAGCUCAGUUGGCUAGAGCGUGUGCUUUUCUUAAGCCUUCCCCUUGCAGGCGUGGGUUCGAAUCCCACCGAGGCCG
Molecule: transfer RNA, 83 nt
Filed under: Schistocephalus solidus
Lineage: Eukaryota; Metazoa; Platyhelminthes; Cestoda; Diphyllobothriidea; Diphyllobothriidae
Rfam family: tRNA
About the family: Transfer RNA (tRNA) molecules are approximately 80 nucleotides in length. Their secondary structure includes four short double-helical elements and three loops (D, anti-codon, and T loops).
Source: Rfam by way of RNAcentral